RNAcentral lists this unclassified non-coding RNA (200 nucleotides) under Sordariomycetes sp. Its description in RNAcentral is "partial internal transcribed spacer 2". Lineage: Eukaryota; Fungi; Ascomycota; Sordariomycetes. The record is from RNAcentral.
UUAAGUUCAGCGGGUAUUCCUACCUGAUCCGAGGUCAACAUUCAGAAUUUUGGGGGUUUUACGGCAGGAACCCGCCACACUUCCAAAGCGAGAGAGAUUACUACGCUCGGAGUUAUAGCGAGCCCGCCACUGAAUUUCAGGGCCUGCAGCCGGAGCUGCAGACGCCCCAACACCAAGCAGGGCUUGAGGGUUGAAAUGAC